AGAUAAGUCUUAGCCUCCUGCUGUGUCUCAGUUUCCCCUCCUGUGCCCCAGGGACGUUCUGCCUGGCUGCUGCUGUGCGAGCGGCGCAGUGUGCACGUGGGAUGGUUGGGCUGGCUGAGAGCUAGGUGACCCAAGGAAGUCUACCUGCAGCUAUCUGCAAGGCUUGGUGCCGCGGCAGAGUCAGCGAAAGAACUAAACUGGAACUCCAUCAGCUCGAGGGAAUACGAUCUCCAGUCCCAGCCAACUGAGCCCUGGUGGAUGAAAAUAACGUUUGAUUCUAAACUGACUGGAAGUGAGUUAGUGGCAGAGGUAUUACACUGAAGUGUCACCGCAGCAAACCUCACAGAAGAGAAGUAAUAAUUAAAUGCCUUUCAAAGACCAGGAUUCGAGUCCUGAAGCUACAACAUUUGAAAGCUGUACCCCCUGAAGACCACUCUGAGGUACUUAUAACGCAGACACUGAAUGGCAGUCAGACUAAGCGCUGACAGUAAAGUAAAUUAAAAUAAUUGAAGGGAGCAGUAUAGUAUACAGUACAAUUUAUAGAGAGUCAG
This 551-nucleotide long non-coding RNA is filed under the name Calidris pugnax (ruff). RNAcentral describes it as "lncRNA (ENSCPUG00000006574.1)". The record is from RNAcentral. Lineage: Eukaryota; Metazoa; Chordata; Aves; Charadriiformes; Scolopacidae.